This 516-nucleotide ribosomal RNA is filed under the name uncultured Corynebacterium sp. Its description in RNAcentral is "bacterial SSU rRNA". It matches the Rfam family "Bacterial small subunit ribosomal RNA", at positions 1 to 507 of the family's 1533-position model. The record is from RNAcentral. Lineage: Bacteria; Bacillati; Actinomycetota; Actinomycetes; Mycobacteriales; Corynebacteriaceae.
AGUAGUUUCGUAUCCUGGCUCAGGACGACGCUGGCGGCGUGCUUAACACAUGCAAGUCGACGGAAAGGCCCCCACCAUUUUUGGUGGGGGUUGCUCGAGUGGCGAACGGGUGAGUAACACGUGGGUGAUCUGCCCUGUACUUCGGGAUUAAGCUUGGGAAACUAGGGUCUAAUACCGGAUAGGACCAUGGUUUAGUGUCUCAUGGUGGAAAGAUUAUUGUUUUGGUGCAGGAUGAGCUCGCGGCCUAUCAGCUUGUUGGUGGGGUAAUGGCCUACCAAGGCGUCGACGGGUAGCCGGCCUGAGAGGGUGGACGGCCACAUUGGGACUGAGAUACGGCCCAGACUCCUACGGGAGGCAGCAGUGGGGAAUAUUGCACAAUGGGCGCAAGCCUGAUGCAGCGACGCCGCGUGGGGGAUGACGGCCUUCGGGUUGUAAACUCCUUUCGUUAGGGACGAAGCCACAUUUUUUUGGGCGUGGUGACGGUACCUUUGUUAAGAAGCACCGGCUAACUACGUG